RNAcentral lists this ribosomal RNA (634 nucleotides) under uncultured Pantoea sp. Its description in RNAcentral is "bacterial SSU rRNA". It matches the Rfam family "Bacterial small subunit ribosomal RNA", at positions 870 to 1504 of the family's 1533-position model. Lineage: Bacteria; Pseudomonadati; Pseudomonadota; Gammaproteobacteria; Enterobacterales; Erwiniaceae. The record is from RNAcentral.
CGCCUGGGGAGUGCGGCCGCAAGGUUAAAACUCAAAUGAAUUGACGGGGGCCCGCACAAGCGGUGGAGCAUGUGGUUUAAUUCGAUGCAACGCGAAGAACCUUACCUACUCUUGACAUCCAGAGAACUUAGCAGAGAUGCUUUGGUGCCUUCGGGAACUCUGAGACAGGUGCUGCAUGGCUGUCGUCAGCUCGUGUUGUGAAAUGUUGGGUUAAGUCCCGCAACGAGCGCAACCCUUAUCCUUUGUUGCCAGCGAUUCGGUCGGGAACUCAAAGGAGACUGCCGGUGAUAAACCGGAGGAAGGUGGGGAUGACGUCAAGUCAUCAUGGCCCUUACGAGUAGGGCUACACACGUGCUACAAUGGCGCAUACAAGGAGAAGCGACCUCGCGAGAGCAAGCGGACCUCAUAAAGUGCGUCGUAGUCCGGAUCGGAGUCUGCAACUCGACUCCGUGAAGUCGGAAUCGCUAGUAAUCGUGGAUCAGAAUGCCACGGUGAAUACGUUCCCGGGCCUUGUACACACCGCCCGUCACACCAUGGGAGUGGGUUGCAAAAGAAGUAGGUAGCUUAACCUUCGGGAGGGCGCUUACCACUUUGUGAUUCAUGACUGGGGUGAAGUCGUAACAAGGUAACCGUA